RNAcentral lists this ribosomal RNA (1167 nucleotides) under Triticum aestivum (bread wheat). RNAcentral's name for it is "partial small subunit ribosomal RNA". The record is from RNAcentral. Lineage: Eukaryota; Viridiplantae; Streptophyta; Magnoliopsida; Poales; Poaceae.
AUGGUGCUUGCGGCCCAAAAAAACGAUCUUAUCAAAGGGUUAGCUGCUGAUCUUAUUGAGGAUGGGGUUUGCAUCCUGCAAUAUGCUGAUGAUACGGUGCUUUGUUUCGAACAUGAUAUAGACAAAGCCAUCAACGUCAAACUUUUGCUCUAUCUUUUUGAGAUUAUGUCAGGAUUAAAAAUCAAUUUUGAGAAGAGUGAGAUCUUUAGUAUUGGAGGUGACAAUGAUAUUGAUCUAGCUUAUGCUGACAUGUUUGGAUGCCAAGUGGGCUCCUUACCUAUGAAAUAUCUUGGAGUCCCAAUUACAUACUCCACUCUCAAGAAUGCGGAUUUAGACUUCCUUGAUGGAAAAAUGGUCAAAAAGCUUGAUGCCUGGGUCGCCUAUGCGGCUUCCUUCGGGGCCAGGCUCACUUUGUUGGGUUCCAGCCUAGAUGGGAUUCUCUCGUACCACAUGUCGAUGUUCCUCUUCAAUAAAACAUUUAUUGAGAGGAUGGAUAAACACCGUAGACGUUUCUUUUGGAGGAAGAAAAACAAGAAACAUGGAUACCAUAUGGUUAAGUGGACAAGAAUAUGUCGUUCUAAGAAGAUUGGGGGUCUGGGUAUCAAAGAUCUUCAUAAGCAGAAUAUUGCCCUACUCGUUAAAUGGUGGUGGAAACUAGAAACGAGUGAUGGGUUAUGGCAGCGUAUAGUAAGGGCUAGAUAUUUCAAAAAUAAGACUGUAGCUAAUAUUCGGAGUCGUUUCUCUGAUUCUCCUUGCUGGAAGGCUAUCAUGAAAGUCAAAGAGUCGUAUAUGGCUGGCCGAAAAAUCAUUAUCGAAAGUGGAAACCUGACUAGAAUCUGGUACGAUCCUUGGGUUGAGAAUAUCACAUUGAAAGAUCAUUUCCCUGAUCUGUUUAGUAUCUGUCAAGACCAGGAGUGCACUGUUGCAUCCUGGGUUGCGAAUAACUAUGAACUAGGCUUUAGACGCAGACUGGUUGGCAUGUUGGGUGAGCAGUGGGCUUGGAUUGUAAUGGAAGCAAAAAAGUUGUUGCUGAAUGAUUCUCCAGAUAAAUUGCAUGGGCUCUUAGUAGUAAAGGCAUAUUUACUACUAAAUCUAUCUAUGAAUGGUUGGAAAGAAACUUAUCAGGCCCCAACUAUAAAAUGGUGUGGAAAGCACCUAUUCCGUUGA